This is a long non-coding RNA of Salvia miltiorrhiza (redroot sage), 556 nucleotides long. RefSeq lists it as uncharacterized. The record is from RefSeq and is a predicted model, not a curated record. The transcript is spliced from 4 exons. Lineage: Eukaryota; Viridiplantae; Streptophyta; Magnoliopsida; Lamiales; Lamiaceae.
AUUAUUUCUAAGUGUAUGAAUUGGAAGUUGGAGGGUUUUAAUUUGGAGAUCUCUCAUUUCAGCAUUUGCGGCGAGGAUACAAGUUUCUUGGGUUUGCGCAGAAAGGGGGAGAUUCAUACUAAGGGAGACGACAAUUCGUAUAGAAGUAUCGAAGAUCUAAAAAACCCCAGGAUCUUACAUAUUUAAUGGCGAUUACCAAAUCAAAGAGAGCUGGCAAGAGACCGGCUAAGGACAAGGGCAAGGGUAUUGCCGUUGAUGAUGGAAUCGAAGAUGGCGGUUGGAUAAAUUCUGCAGCCGAUGAGUUUGUAGCUAGGAACAGGCGCAAAGGUAUUGUCAUUCGGGAGCCGAGUGAACAUGAUGGCGCGAGCAGACAUGUAGAAGAAGGUGGAUGUAUCUAUUUUUAAAAUAUGCGACUAUUAAGCAUAUAAAGUUAUACAUUGUAUGAAAUUCGAUAUAUUACUUUAUGCAAUACGUUCGAAGCAUAGGAACGAUCCAUUGCUCAGAGAGUUGAUGCGUGCUUAUUUAACAGGAUGUGUUUUUUUAAAAAAAAUAUUAA